GCAUCAAUGGGGUAGUGGUAACCUUGGUCGUUGCCAUCGACCAGCCGCGAGUUCAAUUCUCGCUUGAUGCA
This is a non-coding RNA of Sphaerobolus stellatus SS14, 71 nucleotides long. The record is from the annotation of a GenBank genome assembly. Lineage: Eukaryota; Fungi; Basidiomycota; Agaricomycetes; Geastrales; Sphaerobolaceae.